CCAAAAUUAUGAAAAUUGUGUCAUUGUCCAAAUAUUUACGGAACUAACUGAACAUGUAUAUAACAAGUGGAAUGUACAGAUGUACAGUGAAGGCAAAUAAUAUACAAAUAGGACAACCCUUUGAGCACAAGCAGUUAAAAAGACAAUGGAAAUAUUUCUUUAUGAUUGAAAAUGUGAUGAAAACACAACAAUUGUAGACACUCUUGGUACACGGUAAUACAUAAAGACAAACUUAACAUGGACCCACACAUGACAACCUAUCCAAGGAGAUAAAUGGCAGUACUUAGCAAAAUUAACCUAAUGUUGAAGAGAUGGGACAAUUAUGUUAUCCUCCAUUAGUGUCAAAAACCUCUAUGUUUUUCUCUCUCCUGAUCACUGAAGAAAAUAAUUUCAUUGGUCCCCAGGUCUAUCCCAGCCUAUUGAGCUGUAGACAGCUCCAGUGCUCCUCUCCAGCCCCUCACAUACCUUCCCCUCCUCUCCUCAACCCACUUCCCAUCAUUCCUCAUCUCUUUUCCCUACGUCACCCUUCUGACUUUAAGCCACCCAUCUCAGUGGAGUGGGAUGUCUUACUCCCCCUGGUGGUGAUUCAUGACAAUGCUCCAAUCAGAGGGAAAUCAAAUGUUGCCGGAAUUCCCUACUCUGUGUAUGAAAAUAAUAAUAAUCCGCCAUCCAACCAAUCAUCAUUUGUGUGGCUCUACGAUUGACAUACGCGGACCCUACGCAGACGUGUUUGCGAACUCAGGCCUCUUCCAUCGCUUGAAGAAGACUUACUUGGUUGUCAUGGUUGCAAUCAUAUACUUUCCAUCUCCAAGAGAAGACUCCCUCAAUUGGAUUCAGGAAAGGAGAAUAUGGUGGAAGGAACACCAUCCUGAAAUGUGGGUGAUUCUCAAACCACUCUCGCACUAGUGCUGAAUGGUGGAAUUGGACAUUGUCCCAAACAACGACAGAAUUCCGCACCAUUUGCUCUUGAUCGCCCUGUGGAAAGAGGAUUUCAUUCAUCCAUCUCUUCUCCCUCUACUCCUCUAUAUUCUCCUCUUCCUACAUCCUCAGCUCUUCUUUCUCCUUCUC
This is a long non-coding RNA of Esox lucius (northern pike), 1068 nucleotides long. RefSeq lists it as uncharacterized. The record is from RefSeq and is a predicted model, not a curated record. The transcript is spliced from 3 exons. Lineage: Eukaryota; Metazoa; Chordata; Actinopteri; Esociformes; Esocidae.